Molecule: non-coding RNA, 116 nt
Organism: Triticum aestivum (bread wheat)
Lineage: Eukaryota; Viridiplantae; Streptophyta; Magnoliopsida; Poales; Poaceae
Source: Rfam
GUAAUACUCCCUCCGUCCCAAAAUAACUGACUCAAGAGUAAUUCAACUUUGUACUAAAGUUAGUAUAAAGUUGAGUCAUUUUUGAGUCACUUAUUUUGGGACGGAGGGAGUAAGAU